UAAACACCACCUAAUCCAACCUUCCAAGCUCAUUACGGUUUCUGCUAACGCUGUGAACACUAAUACGGUACGCACGCUAGAAGGCAGGACUGGUAAUUGUUUUUCAAGCCACAGAGACACAGGUAAACAGGAAAAAGGACAGAAGCAUGAUUGCACUUCUGCUGGUAGUUUCAAUUUUAUUACUCAUAUCGAACACUUCGUGCCUAUUGCAGACUAAAGGAGCAACUUUUUCACCACAGUGCGAGAUAUGUAAAUAUCAUUCCAACUUUCUGGUGGACGGACAAGUUGAAAACCUGGAACACCCAUGCGAGCAAGUUAGAUGUCUGGCGAACGAAAGUAAAGUAAUUGCUUUGGGUUGCCCACCACCACCUGGAUACCUGAUGAAUGGAUCUGACAACAAGUGGCCGAACUGCUGCAAAAAUGACACAGAGAGAAAUUGCAUAACACAAAGGCCUCAGUAACUGUACUAAUGCCAGAGGCAGUAUGCUUUUCUCGCCAUUGUUACAACCAUACACAAUGCUACAAAAAUCACCGUUUUCAAAUAAAUGAUACGGUCAGUGCGGAAAAUUGAAGACUUCAGAAUAAAUGGAUUUAGGUAUGCU
Long non-coding RNA from Dermacentor andersoni, 602 nucleotides. RefSeq lists it as uncharacterized. Lineage: Eukaryota; Metazoa; Arthropoda; Arachnida; Ixodida; Ixodidae. The record is from RefSeq and is a predicted model, not a curated record.